This 298-nucleotide small RNA is filed under the name Pelobates cultripes (western spadefoot toad). Lineage: Eukaryota; Metazoa; Chordata; Amphibia; Anura; Pelobatidae. The record is from RNAcentral.
GGGGUGACUAGUGAAAGAGUGAGAGGGGGUGACUAGUGACAGAGUGAGGGAGGGAGUGGGUGACUAGUGACAGAGUGAGGAAGAGGUGACACAGUGACAGAGUGAGGAAGGGGGUGACACAGUGACAGAGUGAAGGAGGUGGUGACUGUCACUAGUCACCCCAUCCCUCCCUCUGUCACUAGUCACUCCCUCCCUCCCUCUGUCACUAGUCACUCCCUCCCUCACUCUGUCACUAGUCACUCCCUCCCUCUCUCUGUCACUAGUCACACCCUCCCUCACUCUGUCACUAGUCACACCC